CACUUAUGGGAAUGGUCUAAGAAUGUUGAUUCUCCACAUAAUGAAAGGAUAAGGAGCAACAAUUGAUGUGUGUUUGGCCAUAAAUCUUUUUUGUAUGUUAGCAUACUUUUGACAUUACUCACAUCAUUUGACAAGGUCAAUGGCUCCUUUUGAAGAUUUGGCCAAUUGUACGCUUAUCGGAUGAGCUUAUGACUCGCCCUCUAAGUGAUUAUCAUAGAUAUCUUCAUGU
RNAcentral lists this long non-coding RNA (229 nucleotides) under Elaeis guineensis (African oil palm). RNAcentral's name for it is "long non-coding RNA (EGUI_LNC058381)". The record is from RNAcentral. Lineage: Eukaryota; Viridiplantae; Streptophyta; Magnoliopsida; Arecales; Arecaceae.